This 252-nucleotide ribosomal RNA is filed under the name uncultured bacterium. RNAcentral describes it as "partial 16S ribosomal RNA". It matches the Rfam family "Bacterial small subunit ribosomal RNA", at positions 524 to 776 of the family's 1533-position model. The record is from RNAcentral.
UACGGAGGAUGCGAGCGUUAUCCGGAUUUAUUGGGUUUAAAGGGUGCGUAGGCGGACGCUUAAGUCAGCGGUAAAAUUGCGGGGCUCAACCUUGUCGAGCCGUUGAAACUGGGUGCCUUGAGUGGGCGAGAAGUACGCGGAAUGCGUGGUGUAGCGGUGAAAUGCAUAGAUAUCACGCAGAACUCCGAUUGCGAAGGCAGCGUACCGGCGCCCAACUGACGCUGAAGCACGAAGGCGUGGGUAUCGAACAGG